Molecule: ribosomal RNA, 497 nt
Filed under: uncultured bacterium
Lineage: Bacteria
Description: partial 16S ribosomal RNA
Rfam family: Bacterial small subunit ribosomal RNA
Source: RNAcentral
GAUGAACGCUGGCGGCGUGCCUAAUACAUGCAAGUCGAGCGAACGGACGAGAAGCUUGCUUCUCUGAUGUUAGCGGCGGACGGGUGAGUAACACGUGGAUAACCUACCUAUAAGACUGGGAUAACUUCGUGAAACCGUAGCUAAUACCGGAUAAUAUUUUGAACCGCAUGGUUCAAAAGUGAAAGACGGUCUUGCUGUCACUUAUAGAUGGAUCCGCGCUGCAUUAGCUAGUUGGUAAGGUAACGGCUUACCAAGGCAACGAUGCAUAGCCGACCUGAGAGGGUGAUCAGCCACACUGGAACUGAGACACGGUCCAGACUCCUACGGGAGGCAGCAGUAGGGAAUCUUCCGCAAUGGGCGAAAGCCUGACGGAGCAACGCCGCGUGAGUGAUGAAGGUCUUCGGAUCGUAAAACUCUGUUAUUAGGGAAGAACAUAUGUGUAAGUAACUGUGCACAUCUUGACGGUACCUAAUCAGAAAGCCACGGCUAACUACGUG